ACAAUGGUGGUUCAAUGGUAGGAUUCUUGCUUUCCAUGUGGGAGACCUGGAUUCAAUUCCUGGCCGUUGUA
Molecule: transfer RNA, 71 nt
Filed under: Loxodonta africana (African savanna elephant)
Lineage: Eukaryota; Metazoa; Chordata; Mammalia; Proboscidea; Elephantidae
Rfam family: tRNA
About the family: Transfer RNA (tRNA) molecules are approximately 80 nucleotides in length. Their secondary structure includes four short double-helical elements and three loops (D, anti-codon, and T loops). Further hydrogen bonds mediate the characteristic L-shaped molecular structure. tRNAs have two regions of fundamental functional importance: the anti-codon, which is responsible for specific mRNA codon recognition, and the 3' end, to which the tRNAs corresponding amino acid is attached (by aminoacyl-tRNA synthetases). tRNAs cope with the degeneracy of the genetic code in two manners: having more than one tRNA (with a specific anti-codon) for a particular amino acid; and 'wobble' base-pairing, i.e. permitting non-standard base-pairing at the 3rd anti-codon position.
Source: Rfam by way of RNAcentral